Molecule: non-coding RNA, 1003 nt
Organism: Camellia sinensis
Lineage: Eukaryota; Viridiplantae; Streptophyta; Magnoliopsida; Ericales; Theaceae
Source: RefSeq, a predicted model, not a curated record
CCAAAAUAAUUUUUUUUUUCAAUUUUUGGUAACCUAUCUUCAGCGACUAAAAUUUAGUCGCGGAUGUGUUCAAAUUUUUCUGGGAAAUAUUUCAUAUUGGCGCCUAAAUUUUUCCGCAAAUCUAUUACUUCUUCACACGGUUCUGUCUCUCUCUUGCUGUCCCUCUGUCUCUCGCUCAGCCGCUUGUCGAGGCUCAGAUACCGUUCAAGAUCCACAUCGUGAAGGACCACGACAUGAAAGAGAGGCUGUGCUUGAAAGUCGAGAGGCUAGGGCUGAGUGCAGUGAUUAUGGGGAGCUGAGGGUUUGGUGCGAUCAAGAGAGGUAACAAUGGAAGGCUCGGGAGUGUUAGCAAUUAUUGUGUUCGUCACUGUGUUUGUCCUGUGGUGGUUGUGAGGUAUCCGGAUGAGAAGGAUGGUGGUAAUGCGCCUCAAGUGUCUGUGGCGUCUGCGGCGGAGGAUGAGGACGAUACGGAGUUCCAUGAUGCCUCCGAUGAUCGCAAAGACUGAUACAUCCCUGGCUAUAGAGGCUAUAUUCAUGAAAAGAUGGGAAUUUGAUAGUAUAGAACAAGCUGCAAAAUGCAUAUCUUCAUGGUUUUCAGGAACACACCAUGAACAGCUUCUCUUGAAAGGAUAUUUGGAAUCUGCCAUAGGGCUUUUUUGAGGAGGUUACACCUUUACAAUAUUGAAAGAAUGGAUAAUGCAUCACUUUGUGCAUCAUUGUCAGUCUGCCCUUGUUUUCUUGAUCUUGAGAUUGUUGGCUUGGCACUAUGUUCCCCAGCUUGCAGAACAAAUUUUGCACAAUAAUAAGAAUGCUCCAAAGGAUGACUAUAUAAACCUCAAAGGUUUUAUUGUGAGUGAUGUCCCAACUUGUACUUACUAUUUUCAUUUUGGCUAAUUAGCUUUUCAUUUUCUUUUGGAUAAAACUUGAUUGCUAAGAGCUUCUCUGCUCUAGGAUCUUUAAUCUGUCAUUAAUAGAAUUAAAAGGUUGACUGCUUUCAUUUUCA